AAUAAUGCUGGCAAUAGAAGACUUCGAACCAGGUCAGGACUGAAAAGUAGCAGCCUUAAGAACCAUCUUCUAUGUGCUAGCAUUUUUAAA
RNAcentral lists this signal recognition particle RNA (90 nucleotides) under Bacilli bacterium PM5-3. RNAcentral's name for it is "small signal recognition particle RNA". It matches the Rfam family "Bacterial small signal recognition particle RNA". From Rfam's summary of the family: The signal recognition particle (SRP) is a universally conserved ribonucleoprotein involved in the co-translational targeting of proteins to membranes. Archaeal SRP consists of a 7S RNA and homologues of the eukaryotic SRP19 and SRP54 proteins. In most bacteria, the SRP consists of a 4.5S RNA and the Ffh protein (a homologue of the eukaryotic SRP54 protein). Lineage: Bacteria; Bacillati; Bacillota; Bacilli. The record is from RNAcentral. RNAcentral also lists the same sequence under 1 other name.